Lagopus leucura (white-tailed ptarmigan) is the source of this 2454-nucleotide long non-coding RNA. RefSeq lists it as uncharacterized. The transcript has 3 exons. NCBI's taxonomy places the organism in Eukaryota, Metazoa, Chordata, Aves, Galliformes, Phasianidae. The record is from RefSeq and is a predicted model, not a curated record.
AGUUGCACUAAAUGAAUACAAUGAGCUCUACAAAUUACAGAGCCCUUCCAGGAAAUCUGAGAUGAACGUGAAGAACUGAGGUUGAAAUAUGUUCAGCUAAUAAACAGUUGCAUAAAACCUUAAAUAUGUGCAGCCAAGGGAUUUGCUGAAGGUGUUCUGGAACGAAAAUAUGUUUCUGUUUGCUUAACUGAAACUACGUUGCUUUAGAUGACCUCACGUUCUUCAUUUCUAAGCCCACCAACCCUGCAUCGAGGCUCAACAUACUGCAAGAUGCCAGACUCACCAGAGGAAGACAGUCAAUAAUGUAUUACAUUAGUUUUAAAUACAAUACUCUUGAUUUUUGACAAUUAUAGCUGCAUAGUAAAUACUGCCUGUCACCACUCACAGCCACGCUGAGAAAACUGCGUGUGUGAUUAGGGGACUGUAAAGAGCUCAGUGUGGGGGCUGCAGUCAGAAGACAGAGCUCAUGGCAGAGGCAGCAAGCUGUUUGCUACAUUCUGUGUCACACAGGUAACACCUUACUCUGCUGUUUUCAGCCUGCACUACGUUUUGAUUCAUUACCUGAUGAUGUCUGAAGUGUUAGUUGGCAGCUAACUGCUUACAGCCUGGCCACCAGAUAAAGACUUCUCUAAUGCGACUGUACAGCCUAGGAAUUUCGCAGAUAAACAUGAAGGUUGAUAUGGACAAAGUAUGAAUGGCAAUGUACAGGUGCAAAAUCAUCAAGAAAAACAAGAAGGGAUAAAGGAAAGGCAUGAGCAGAUGGGCCAAAAUCAGGUCACCAAGAUUGCAGCGUACACUGUGCAGCUUCUCAAGGACCUGGCUCUGGAAAACCUCAGGCUGCCUGCUGGUGAGCCUCCAGGUGAAGGCAGCUUGGCUCCAACUCUCUCUCCUAGUGGACCUUGAACCUACUCUGUAGCUUUGUCUUCGGCCCUAUAGCAGUAGCCAAAGGUAGACCUCAGAACUGUUUUGCAGCCCUGUCUCAGCCUUUCCUCUGGCCUCAUCUCCUGCUGCUCUUGGAUGGACCCUGAAGCCCAUUAGUUGACCUGCAUAGUUUGGACCCUGGACCUGAUUAAUUUGCCUUGAUGGGACUCUUGGUGGAUUCUAUUAUCAUUAUCUAGGUGUGAAGGACUGCGCCCAGCUGGUGAAGGCACAGCAGCUCCUGGCUUGUACCAGUGCAAGUCAUGCACAUAUGUGGCAGAGCACAUCUCCAGCUUCACACACAUUAAAAGAAAGGUUGGAUCAGUCUGUAUGAGAAAGUGUGUGAAACUCUACCUAGGCUGUUUUGCAUCAUCCUUGGAUACACUGGCUAAACAUUAGCAGUGGAAAUACUGAACGUAGUACUCCGAUUUGAUGGAGAGGUGAAGCAGCUCUCUGUGGGAAGAUCCCCACCUUGGAGACUCUGGAGGGUUCGAAAUCCCCAGUGAAGCGAUGCAGAGCCUUUCAAGGCAAGACACUGUAUACAAAAGUUCCUGUCAAGCAGCCAGCACGAACAACAACGGCUGGCACGAGGAAAGGUUCACAGAUGCUUGUUCGAACGUGCAAUUGUGCAACAUCGCCGCCUAUUGCAGGCUCCGGCUGCUGCUAUAAUAAAGGCACCAGCGCCAUCUGCCUUCUCAAACCCAACUCAACCAAGGAGGAAAGGUCCUCAUGGAGGCUAGAUGGCAGCAACACCGGUUUGGCUUAAAAGCACCAGAAUUGAUCCUUCUCCUGCCCCUGACAGACUCACUGUUCUUGGACACCCUGGCAAACCUGCAGUCUCCGUCAGAUCAUCACAGCGCGAGCAUACAAAGAGCUUACAAAGAACAAAGAUGGUUUGGGCAAUGAUUUAAGGUAUUGCAAGGACACAGCUGUAGGCAGACACAGCACCGAGGUUCCCAUUUGUUGCACAUCUGUCACAAAAAGAAAGCAGAGCACAUUGAGGCGCUGUGCUGAUGUGUCAUGCUAGGCUUGAGGUUUGGUGCCCUUUACUCCCUGGGUGCCCCUGGGGCUCCUCACACAGCUCAGCAUUGGUUUCCACCCUACGAAAUGCCAGCUGCGGGCACGAAGAGCGACAGCGCUGCUCCCAAUGGUAACCACGCAGACGUCAAUCUCUGCUGCAGGAUGUAAUUGCAAUCUACAGGAAAAGGUAAUAACUGUGGUGAAAGGUUUCCAACAACCGCGAUGCCAUCCCCUGCCCCGCUCUGAGAUCUGUUUGAGACACGGGGAGAGAUUUCCGCCACUCGUCCUCAUGGUUACAGUCAGCAGAAAGCAGGCUGCACGGAGCCAGGUGCUCCUGCCAACCCCAACACAGCCCAAAGGAAGCAAAUAAAAAGGCCCGAGAGUAACAGUCAUCACUGCCUAAACUGAUGUUGCUAUACAGGAAUCUGAGUCACAGCGAGAGGCUGCUCAAGAAGGGAGCAGAGGAGACAAGAAAUUCCAGCCAGGGCAGGGGAGCUCUGACUGAAGAAGCUCAGC